Oryza sativa Japonica Group (Japanese rice) is the source of this 2956-nucleotide non-coding RNA. The record is from RefSeq and is a predicted model, not a curated record. NCBI's taxonomy places the organism in Eukaryota, Viridiplantae, Streptophyta, Magnoliopsida, Poales, Poaceae.
CUUCCCCCCAUCUCUUCCCAUGGUGUCAUUCUGCUAAAAAUUUCAUCUUGGGGGGUAUAUUUCUCAUAUUUUAGUUCAUGCCGCCGCCACUAUGUACUAAUCCCACCAUAGCAGCUCAUAGUAUUCUCCAUUGCAAUCCUGUCGUCUAUUUGUAUUUGUUUUUUGUUUGUUAGUAUUAGGGUGCUUUUGGGUUUGGGGUUUCUGCCAUUGACGGUUACCUGAAGAGCUCUCGAUGAAGCGGUUCUUUUUUAUUUUAUUUUAUUUUCGGUGCCUAGUGAAAUACAGUGGUGGUUUUGAAUCAUUCCUGGGAGUUCCCUGGUGGUUUUGACUGAUCAAAACGCUACAUUUUUUUUAUGUUUAUGUUCCCUGUUGUUGUUUCUUGCCCAAAUGCAGAUUCACUCUUGCAUUUGUUUCUCUUGAUUUCCUCUGCUGUUUUGCUCUACAAGGACAGAGGACUUAGUCUGCUUGUUCGUCAGCCUUGCAGGAAAAAAAAUGCAGUAAAAAACCUGUCUAUUGCGAUUACUUUGUGUUCAUCUUGGGGCGCUCUUAUUAUGCGUGGGAAUCACCAGCAGAGUUCAUCCGAUUUGAUGCGCGCAUCUCUAAUUCCCAUCUUUUGCAGCAUUGCAAAAGCUGCUGCCUUUUAGCUUUUGCGCUUUCUUAAUUAGGAGGGGUUGUACGGCGCCCCUGUUGGACCUGAUUACUUCCACAGUAAUUGCAUCAUGACAUUUUAUUCCUUUUUAAUCGUUUCCUUUUGCUAAUCUUUUUAAGUACAAAUGGAGUUUCCCCCCAAAAAAAUAUUGCAAAUGGAGUUUUUUUUUCCCCUUCUCCUCUCGCCUUUUGCUGUUUCAGGUUUCGUAUGUUAUCUUCACAUCAAUGCAGCCUUUAAUUGCAGCAGACCACCCUUCUUUGCUACUAGUAUGGGAAAAAAAAAUCAGAGCCACACGAACUGUGGGUAUUUGCUAUGGGAACUUCACAAGUUCGCCAGCAAUACAACUUGAAUGCGUCCUGAAGAUCUAGAUUCCGCAGGUCAAAUCGUCGAAUUUCAGAGCUAGUAGUACUGUAGGCUUGCCUGGUGCAACUGUGGGUUAUGCUUCAAUAGCCUUUAACUGUGGGUUAAUGUGUAGAGUAUAUGUCAAAUACAGAAUUUUUACUUGAAGAAGAUGUGUUUAUUUUCAGAUGUGUUGGACCAUUUCAUGUUGUCCACUUGUAGGUACUUUCGUGGCCUAAGUAGUACAUUAUUCAGUUGUUAGUUAUUUGUCUCACUGAAUGCAAGUGUAUCUUUAGUAAGAGUUGGACUGCAUUGUACUUGUUUUAAUCUUCUUGAAGGCCAGUAAGAAUUUGUACUCUAAUACAAAAUUGUGGAAAUUUUACAGAUAAUAAGCUGCUAAGAAUUAUCACCAUGGAGGUCAAUGGUCAUCACAAACCAAGAAGAGAAUAUAAUGGCCGAGAGUGCAAUGGUGUACAAUCAGUAAACAAUUUUGGCGAUAUCGAUCCAUGGACAGCAUGGGCAUACAAACCGCGCACAGUUUCAUUGCUACUGAUGGGAACAUGCUUUUUAAUUUGGGCAAGUGGUGCUCUUGAUCCAGAAAGAAGCUUCUCUGUUGACCGCGUUUCAUCUGUUAAAAGGGGUGUCUUUGCAAUGAUUGCUGUUUUUUUGGCUUAUUCAUUUCUUCAGGCACCUUCUACUGUACUUAUUAGACCACAUCCUGCCAUUUGGCGGCUGGUCCACGGGAUGGCAGUUGUUUACCUUGUUGCUCUAACUUUUUUGCUUUUCCAGACCCGUGAUGAUGCUAGGCAAUUUAUGAAGUAUCUUCACCCUGAUCUUGGUGUUGAAUUACCUGAAAGAUCUUAUGGAACCGACUGCCGCAUAUAUGUACCUGAUCAUCCGAAAAGCAGGUUUCUCUAGGAGAUCCUUUUUGAUGAGUUUGUUAUUGCCCAUAUCCUUGGAUGGUGGGGGAAGGCUAUAAUGAUAAGAAACCAACCACUUUUAUGGGUAUUAUCAAUUGGCUUUGAGCUAAUGGAGCUCACCUUUCGCCAUAUGCUGCCAAACUUUAAUGAGUGUUGGUGGGAUAGCAUCGUACUAGACAUAUUAAUCUGCAAUUGGUUUGGUAUUUGGGCUGGAAUGAAGACUGUGAGAUACUUUGAUGGGAGGACAUAUGAAUGGGUUGGUUUGAGUCGUCAACCCAAUAUUAUCAGUAAGGUAAAAAGGACGCUAGGCCAGUUCACACCAGCACAGUGGGACAAAGAUGAGUGGUACCCUCUGCUUGGCCCUUGGAGAUUCAUCCAGGUGCUGAGCCUAUGUAUUGUUUUCAUGAUUGUUGAACUUAACACAUUCUUUCUCAAGUUCUGCCUUUGGAUUCCUCCCCGAAACCCCUUGAUUGUUUACCGACUUGUCCUUUGGUGGUUAAUUGCGAUACCAACCAUUCGCGAGUACAAUACAUACUUACAAGACAGGAAACCUGUUAAAAAGGUGGGGUCUUUCUGUUGGCUUUCCCUAGCUAUUUGCAUUUUGGAGCUUCUACUAUGCAUCAAGUUUGGACAUGGUCUCUUUCCGAAGUCGAUGCCGUCAUGGUUGUUCAUAGCCUGGACGACCGUGGCGUCGCUUCUGAUGAUGUUCCUUCUUGUGUGGACUUGGAAAAUUUACCGAACAAUGAUAAGGAAAAGGCUAUGAUUCUUCUGUUGCUUUGCUCUCAAUUCUUUCCUCCUCCAUUCAAUAUUGUCGUGUAAAUAUUCAUUCAAAAAAAUCUGUACAUGUGGUAGUAGCCAUUAAUUUGGUGGUCUCGAGAAGGAUCAUCAUAAGGAAUUUUAUGUCUUUGCCUUUGUAUUCCAUGAGCCAAAAUGGCAUUCCCUUUUCCUUCCUGUGAUGUAACUCUGACAGCCAAACUUUAGUGUUCCUUUGGUCCAAUCUAAUUCCUGGGAAAUAAUGAACCAAGAUUUAUUCUGUUUCUUGAGUUUU